Molecule: small nucleolar RNA, 106 nt
Filed under: Fibroporia radiculosa
Lineage: Eukaryota; Fungi; Basidiomycota; Agaricomycetes; Polyporales; Fibroporiaceae
Source: RNAcentral
CUAUGAUGAACUUUAGAUGACGAGUCUGAAGUGUCGUGGCGAGGCUUCCUCUCAUCGACUUUCCAUGACGACCACCAAAAUUUAUACCAUUCAUGCUUUCCUGAUU